CGGGAGGACGAGGUGGUGCAUGGUUGUCGUCAGCUCGUGUCGUGAGAUGUGGGUUAAGUCCCGCAACGAGCGCAACCCUACUUGCUAGUUACCAUCAUUAAGUUGGGGACUCUAGCGAGACUGCCAGUGAUAAACUGGAGGAAGGUGGGGAUGACGUCAAAUCAUCAUGCCCCUUAUGACCUGGGCUACAAACGUGAUACAAUGGCUGGAACAAAGGGAUGCGAAGCAGUGAUGUGGAGCGAAACCCAUAAAAACAGUCUCAGUUCGGAUUGAAGUCUGCAACUCGACUUCAUGAAGUCGGAAUCGCUAGUAAUCGCGGAUCAGAACGCCGCGGUGAAUACGUUCUCGGGGUUU
RNAcentral lists this ribosomal RNA (354 nucleotides) under uncultured Acholeplasma sp. RNAcentral's name for it is "bacterial SSU rRNA". It matches the Rfam family "Bacterial small subunit ribosomal RNA", at positions 1026 to 1382 of the family's 1533-position model. The record is from RNAcentral. Lineage: Bacteria; Bacillati; Mycoplasmatota; Mollicutes; Acholeplasmatales; Acholeplasmataceae.